AGAGUUUGAUCCUGGCUCAGGAUGAACGCUAGCUACAGGCUUAACACAUGCAAGUCGAGGGGCAGCAUGUCGUGUGCUUGCACACGAUGAUGGCGACCGGCGCACGGGUGAGUAACGCGUAUCCAACCUUCCCUGGGGUCCGGAAUAGCCCGGUGAAAACCGGAUUAAUGCCGGAUGUCGUGCGAUGAUGGCAUCAGAGUUGCACGAAAGGCUUGCCGCCUCGGGAUGGGGAUGCGUCUGAUUAGGCAGCAGGCGGGGUGACGGCCCACCUGGCCUUCGAUCAGUAGGGGUUCUGAGAGGAAGGUCCCCCACACUGGAACUGAGACACGGUCCAGACUCCUACGGGAGGCAGCAGUGAGGAAUAUUGGUCAAUGGACGGAAGUCUGAACCAGCCAAGUAGCGUGCAGGACGACGGCCCUACGGGUUGUAAACUGCUUUUAUGCGGGGAUAAACGAGGGGACGUGUCCCCUUUUGCAGGUACCGCAUGAAUAAGGACCGGCUAAUUCCGUGCCAGCAGCCGCGGUAAUACGGAAGGUCCGGGCGUUAUCCGGAUUUAUUGGGUUUAAAGGGAGCGCAGACGGCCCGUCAAGCGUGCAGUGAAAUGUAGCGGCUCAACCGCUGAGUUGCUGCGCGAACUGGCUGGCUUGAGUGUGCUGAAGGCAGGCGGAAUUCGUGGUGUAGCGGUGAAAUGCUUAGAUAUCACGAAGAACYCYCAAUUGCGAAGGCAGCCUGCUGUGUCACUACUGACGUUGAGGCUCGAAGGUGCGGGUAUCGAACAGGAUUAGAUACUCCUGGUAGUCCGCACGGUAAACGAUGGAUGCYCGCUGUGUGCCUGUAGAGGUAUGCGGCCAAGCGAAAGCGUUAAGCAUCCCACCUGGGGAGUACGCCGGCAACGGUGAAACUCAAAGGAAUUGACGGGGGCCCGCACAAGCGGAGGAACAUGUGGUUUAAUUCGAUGAUACGCGAGGAACCUUACCCGGGCUUGAACUGCAGCGGAAGGAAACAGAGAUGUUGACGCCCUUCGGGGCCGCUGCGGAGGUGCUGCAUGGUUGUCGUCAGCUCGUGCCGUGAGGUGUCGGCUUAAGUGCCAUAACGAGCGCAACCCCUGCCUUCAGUUGCCAUCGGUUUAAGCCGGGCACUCUGGAGGGACUGCCACCGCAAGGUGCGAGGAAGGUGGGGACGACGUCAAAUCAGCACGGCCCUUACGUCCGGGGCUACACACGUGUUACAAUGGGUGGUACAGAGAGCCGGCGGCCCGCAAGGUCCGUCCAAUCGUGAAAGCCAUCCUCAGUUCGGAUUGGGGUCUGCAACCCGACCCCAUGAAGCUGGAUUCGCUAGUAAUCGCGCAUCAGCCAUGGCGCGGUGAAUACGUUCCCGGGCCUUGUACACACCGCCCGUCAAGCCAUGAAAGCCUGGGGCGCCUGAAGUCCGUGACCGCGAGGGUCGGCCUAGGGUGAAACAGGUGAUUGGGGCUAAGUCGUAACAAGGUAACCGUA
This 1496-nucleotide ribosomal RNA is filed under the name uncultured rumen bacterium. RNAcentral describes it as "bacterial SSU rRNA". It matches the Rfam family "Bacterial small subunit ribosomal RNA". The record is from RNAcentral.